RNAcentral lists this ribosomal RNA (255 nucleotides) under uncultured bacterium. RNAcentral describes it as "partial 16S ribosomal RNA". It matches the Rfam family "Bacterial small subunit ribosomal RNA", at positions 524 to 776 of the family's 1533-position model. The record is from RNAcentral.
UACGUAGGGUGCAAGCAUUAUCCGGAGUGGCUGGGCGUAAAGAGUUGCGUAGGUGGUUUGUUAAGCGAAUAGUGAAAUCUGGCGGCUCAACCGUACAGACUAUUAUUCGAACUGGCAAACUCGAGAAUGGUAGAGGUAACUGGAAUUUCUUGUGUAGGAGUGAAAUCCGUAGAUAUAAGAAGGAACACCAAUGGCGUAGGCAGGUUACUGGACCAUUUCUGACACUGAGGCACGAAAGCGUGGGGAGCGAACCGG